GAUGAACGCUGGCGGCGUGCCUAAUACAUGCCAGUCGAGCGAACGGACGAGAAGCUUGCUUCUCUGAUGUUAGCGGCGGACGGGUGAGUAACACGUGGAUAACCUACCUAUAAGACUGGGAUAACUUCGGGAAACCGGAGCUAAUACCGGAUGAUAUUUUGAACCGCAUGGUUCAAAAGUGAAAGACGGUCUUGCUGUCACUUAUAGAUGGAUCCGCGCUGCAUUAGCUAGUUGGUAAGGUAACGGCUUACCAAGGCAACGAUGCAUAGCCGACCUGAGAGGGUGAUCGGCCACACUGGAACUGAGACACGGUCCAGACUCCUACGGGAGGCAGCAGUAGGGAAUCUUCCGCAAUGGGCGAAAGCCUGACGGAGCAACGCCGCGUGAGUGAUGAAGGUCUUCGGAUCGUAAAACUCUGUUAUUAGGGAAGAACAUAUGUGUAAGUAACUGUGCACAUCUUGACGGUACCUAAUCAGAAAGCCACGGCUAACUAC
RNAcentral lists this ribosomal RNA (494 nucleotides) under uncultured bacterium. RNAcentral's name for it is "partial 16S ribosomal RNA". It matches the Rfam family "Bacterial small subunit ribosomal RNA", at positions 28 to 504 of the family's 1533-position model. The record is from RNAcentral.